UUAUUGGGCGUAAAGCGAGCGCAGGCGGAAGAAUAAGUCUGAUGUGAAAGCCCUCGGCUUAACCGAGGAACUGCAUCGGAAACUGUUUUCUUGAGUGCAGAAGAGGAGAGUGGAACUCCAUGUGUAGCGGUGGAAUGCGUAGAUAUAUGGAAGAACACCAGUGGCGAAGGCGGCUCUCUGGUCUGCAACUGACGCUGAGGCUCGAAAGCAUGGGUAGCGAACAGGAUUAGAUACCCUGGUAGUCCAUGCCGUAAACGAUGAGUGCUAAGUGUUGGGAGGUUUCCGCCUCUCAGUGCUGCAGCUAACGCAUUAAGCACUCCGCCUGGGGAGUACGACCGCAAGGUUGAAACUCAAAGGAAUUGACGGGGGCCCGCACAAGCGGUGGAGCAUGUGGUUUAAUUCGAAGCAACGCGAAGAACCUUACCAGGUCUUGACAUCUAGUGCCAUUUGUAGAGAUACAAAGUUCCCUUCGGGGACGCUAAGACAGGUGGUGCAUGGCUGUCGUCAGCUCGUGUCGUGAGAUGUUGGGUUAAGUCCCGCAACGAGCGCAACCCUUGUUAUUAGUUGCCAGCAUUAAGUUGGGCACUCUAAUGAGACUGCCGGUGACAAACCGGAGGAAGGCGGGGAUGACGUCAAGUCAUCAUGCCCCUUAUGACCUGGGCUACACACGUGCUACAAUGGGCAGUACAACGAGAAGCGAGCCUGCGAAGGCAAGCGAAUCUCUGAAAGCUGUUCUCAGUUCGGACUGCAGUCUGCAACUCGACUGCACGAAGCUGGAAUCGCUAGUAAUCGCGGAUCAGCACGCCGCGGUGAAUACGUUCCCGGGCCUUGUACACACCGCCCGUCACACCAUGGGAGUCUGCAAUGCCCAAAGCCGGUGGCCUAACCUUCGGGAAGGAGCCGUCUAAGGCAGGGCAGAUGACUGGGGUGAAGUC
RNAcentral lists this ribosomal RNA (935 nucleotides) under uncultured Lactobacillus sp. RNAcentral describes it as "bacterial SSU rRNA". It matches the Rfam family "Bacterial small subunit ribosomal RNA", at positions 551 to 1487 of the family's 1533-position model. The record is from RNAcentral. Lineage: Bacteria; Bacillati; Bacillota; Bacilli; Lactobacillales; Lactobacillaceae.